RNAcentral lists this ribosomal RNA (414 nucleotides) under uncultured Streptococcus sp. RNAcentral's name for it is "bacterial SSU rRNA". It matches the Rfam family "Bacterial small subunit ribosomal RNA", at positions 967 to 1382 of the family's 1533-position model. Lineage: Bacteria; Bacillati; Bacillota; Bacilli; Lactobacillales; Streptococcaceae. The record is from RNAcentral.
AACCUUACCAGGUCUUGACAUCCCGAUGCUAUUUCUAGAGAUAGAAAGUUACUUCGGUACAUCGGUGACAGGUGGUGCAUGGUUGUCGUCAGCUCGUGUCGUGAGAUGUUGGGUUAAGUCCCGCAACGAGCGCAACCCCUAUUGUUAGUUGCCAUCAUUCAGUUGGGCACUCUAGCGAGACUGCCGGUAAUAAACCGGAAGAAGGUGGGAUGACGUCAAAUCAUCAUGCCCCUUAUGACCUGGGCUACACACGUGCUACAAUGGCCGGCACAGCGGGAAGCGAGGGGGCGACCUUGAGCGGAUCCCUCAAAGCCGGUCUCAGUUCGGAUUGCAGUCUGCAACUCGACUGCAUGAAGUUGGAAUCGCUAGUAAUCGUGGAUCAGCCAAGCCGCGGUGAAUACGUUCCCGGGCCUU